UCUUUUGCUGCAUUGAGGAAGGAAAUUCUUUCCUGCUGAGGCUUCUAUUUUUUUGUUCCUGUGUAAAGCGAUUGAUGCUGGCGUGACUGCAGCAAACAAGGCCAUUCUAUUUAUACUCUUGUCUUGUUUGCAAACUAUUUGUUCAUGUCAUAGCUCAUAAAAGGCCUCUGAGAUUCUUCAUUUCUCACUUCUUUCACCUCUGCUGUUGUAGUUUAGCAGAUGAAUAUAUGGAGAUUAGAUGCAGCGAUUAAACAUACAAGUGAUCCUUUAUGUCAGCUGCAGGCAAUCUGAGGAUUUUAAAAUGAUCAGAGUUGGGCCAUUUGGUGUUUUAUAAGAUAUUUAGAAGACUUGACCUUUGUGUUUCCAAAAGAUCUGCACUUGGAAAGUUGUGGACACUAAUUCUCUGUGCAGGUAUCAUCUUUCCAAGUCAAGCAGGUCAAGCAAGUUCAGUAUCAACAGGUAAUCGGAUGGGAUGCUCAUCCUGUGAAGCUUGUGCUUUCUCUCUUGUUGAUGCCUAAAUGUCUAGAAAUGUUCCAGCAAAUGUCCCUUGGCAUCAACAAGAAAUCCAAAGAACAAACAUGCCGAAUUGGUUAGCUAUCUAACUUUCUUCAAUAUGAGUUGAGUAUGGACCGGUGAAACCCAGGAAUAAAUCUUCCUGAUAACUACGAAUCUUAGGGAAAUGGGUUAGGCAUGCAUGAAACCCAUCCAGAGUGUUUGCUUUGGCAUAUUGUUGCAGAAACAGACGGCUUUGGUUAGAUUCCAACAUGCACUGUCGAUGGAGGUAGCACUACAUGGGGCCGAAGAAGAAAGAGAAAGGCGAGGAUCACACGGUUGCUGGAAACUGAUUCCUUCUUGAAAGAGGACGUCUCCAUUGAAAGCUCAGUUGUAACACACCGAUCAUGCAAGUAAGCUUUUGGCAAUCUUCUUUUCCCUAUGGUAGAAUAAGAAAAAGGUCUUCUCACUCUUUAAACCUCAUAUGGUGAAUGCGCUAGACAUUGGG
Molecule: long non-coding RNA, 1000 nt
Organism: Musa acuminata subsp. malaccensis (wild Malaysian banana)
Lineage: Eukaryota; Viridiplantae; Streptophyta; Magnoliopsida; Zingiberales; Musaceae
Source: RefSeq, a predicted model, not a curated record